GAGUGUAUAGCUCAGUGGAAGAGUGCAUACCUAGCAUACACAAAGUCCUGGGUUCAAUUCCCAGUACCUCU
RNAcentral lists this transfer RNA (71 nucleotides) under Camelus bactrianus (Bactrian camel). It matches the Rfam family "tRNA". From Rfam's summary of the family: Transfer RNA (tRNA) molecules are approximately 80 nucleotides in length. Their secondary structure includes four short double-helical elements and three loops (D, anti-codon, and T loops). Further hydrogen bonds mediate the characteristic L-shaped molecular structure. tRNAs have two regions of fundamental functional importance: the anti-codon, which is responsible for specific mRNA codon recognition, and the 3' end, to which the tRNAs corresponding amino acid is attached (by aminoacyl-tRNA synthetases). tRNAs cope with the degeneracy of the genetic code in two manners: having more than one tRNA (with a specific anti-codon) for a particular amino acid; and 'wobble' base-pairing, i.e. permitting non-standard base-pairing at the 3rd anti-codon position. RNAcentral also lists the same sequence under 1 other name. The record is from Rfam by way of RNAcentral. Lineage: Eukaryota; Metazoa; Chordata; Mammalia; Artiodactyla; Camelidae.